CGCCUCUUGACCCCCCUAUAAGAGGUCCAGCCUGCCCAGUGACUCUGUUCAACGGCCGCGGUAUCCUAACCGUGCGAAGGUAGCGUAAUCACUUGUCUUCUAAAUAGAGACCAGUAUGAAAGGCACCACGAGGGCUAAACUGUCUCCUUUCUCUAAUCAGUGAACCUAAUCUCCCCGUGAAGAAGCGGGGAUCUUCCUAUAAGACGAGAAGACCCUAUGGAGCUUAAAACAUCGUAACACCUGCUAAUCUUAAAUUCCCUCCUAGCACACUGAUUACAAGUUUUUGGUUGGGGCGACCAUGGAGAAAAAUAAAUCCUCCAUAUUGAAAGAGAACCUCCCUAAACAAUAAGUUACAACUUUAUGCAUCAAUAAAUUGACAUUCUUGACCCAACAUUUGAUCAACGAACCAAGUUACCCUAGGGAUAACAGCGCAAUCCACUUCAAGAGCCCCUAUCGACAAGUGGGCUUACGACCUCGAUGUUGGAUCGGGGUAUCCCAGUGGUGCAGCCACUACUAAAGGU
RNAcentral lists this ribosomal RNA (521 nucleotides) under Pristimantis cf. mendax VG-2017. RNAcentral describes it as "partial 16S ribosomal RNA". It matches the Rfam family "Bacterial large subunit ribosomal RNA", at positions 1817 to 2572 of the family's 2925-position model. Lineage: Eukaryota; Metazoa; Chordata; Amphibia; Anura; Strabomantidae. The record is from RNAcentral.